GUGUCAGCAGCCGCGGUAAUACGUAGGGAGCGAGCAUUGUCCGGAUUUACUGGGUGUAAAGGGUGCGUAGGCGGCUCUGCAGGUCAGGUGUGAAAACUAUCGGCUCAACUGAUAGACUGCAUUUGAAACUGUGGAGCUUGAGUGAAGUAGAGGCAGAUGGAAUUCCCGGUGUAGCGGUGAAAUGUGUAGAGAUCGGGAGGAACACCAGUGGCGCACGCGAUCUGUUGGGCUAUAAAUGACGCUGAGGCGCGAAAGCAUGGGUAGCAAACAGGAUUAGAUACCCUGGUAGUCCAUGCCGUAAACGAUGAGUACUAGGUGUGGGGGGUCUGAC
This 331-nucleotide ribosomal RNA is filed under the name uncultured bacterium. RNAcentral's name for it is "bacterial SSU rRNA". It matches the Rfam family "Bacterial small subunit ribosomal RNA", at positions 505 to 835 of the family's 1533-position model. The record is from RNAcentral.